GACGUAGGGCGCGAGCGUUGUCCGGAUUUAUUGGGCGUAAAGAGCUCGUAGGCGGCUUGUCGCGUCGACUGUGAAAUCCCGCGGCUCAACCGCGGGCUUGCAGUCGAUACGGGCAGGCUUGAGUUCGGUAGGGGAGACUGGAAUUCCUGGUGUAGCGGUGAAAUGCGCAGAUAUCAGGAAGAACACCCGUGGCGAAGGCGGCUCUCUGGUACGUGACUGACGCUGAGACGCGAAAGCGUGGGGAGCAAACAGG
Molecule: ribosomal RNA, 253 nt
Filed under: uncultured bacterium
Lineage: Bacteria
Description: partial 16S ribosomal RNA
Rfam family: Bacterial small subunit ribosomal RNA
Source: RNAcentral